CAGCGUGGAGAUAGCGCAUUGACCACUGAAGUUCUCAAUGGACCACUGAAGUUAAGCUACGUUGCGCAUGGUUGGUAUCCGGAUGGGUGACCAUCUGGGCAAUCGCGAGCUGCUCAGG
RNAcentral lists this ribosomal RNA (118 nucleotides) under Diaphorina citri (Asian citrus psyllid). Lineage: Eukaryota; Metazoa; Arthropoda; Insecta; Hemiptera; Psyllidae. The record is from RNAcentral.